GUGGGGAAUUUUGGACAAUGGGCGAAAGCCUGAUCCAGCCAUGCCGCGUGCAGGAUGAAGGCCUUCGGGUUGUAAACUGCUUUUGUACGGAACGAAAAGACUCCUUCUAAUAAAGGGGGUCCAUGACGGUACCGUAAGAAUAAGCACCGGCUAACUACGUGCCAGCAGCCGCGGUAAUACGUAGGGUGCAAGCGUUAAUCGGAAUUACUGGGCGUAAAGCGUGCGCAGGCGGUUAUAUAAGACAGGUGUGAAAUCCCCGGGCUCAACCUGGGAACUGCAUGUGUGACUGUAUAGCUAGAGUACGGUAGAGGGGGAUGGAAUUCCGCGUGUAGCAGUGAAAUGCGUAGAUAUGCGGAGGAACACCGAUGGCGAAGGCAAUCCCCUAGACCUGUACUGACGCUCAUGCACGAAAGCGUGGGGAGCAAACAGGAUUAGAAACCCGAGUAGUCC
This 450-nucleotide ribosomal RNA is filed under the name uncultured bacterium. RNAcentral's name for it is "partial 16S ribosomal RNA". It matches the Rfam family "Bacterial small subunit ribosomal RNA", at positions 354 to 796 of the family's 1533-position model. The record is from RNAcentral.